UUCACAGAGAGACUGCCCUUGUGGACUCUGCUCAGGUGUUCUUCCUCUAUGUGGCUCCUCCUCUGUUAUGGACUGCCUUUGUGAGUGGCUAUAUUCUCCACUGUGGUUUAACUCUUUGUGGAGCUCUUCUCCUGUGGACUGAACCUUGGACCCUAAAGUUAUCAUCGCCGCCAUACAUGAAGAAAUAAGAAAUAUGGCCACGGAGAUGAAGUCCGAAUUGGGUAACUUUCGAAAACAGAAUCAGAGAAGAUUUGAGAAAGGAGCUAACUGACAUACGAGAGGAAAUUCAACAGAAGCUAGGCGAAGUGGUAGCCGACCUCUAAGCUACAACUGACAGGGUGGGUGAAGCAGAUACGCGCAUAGCCGACCUAGAAGAGUGGAACGCUGACUUCAAGGAGGUGCUGAGUAGCUCCCUACAAACUCAGGAACGUUUACAGAUGAAGCUUACAGACAUGGAAGCACGCUCGAGGCGAAAUAAUCUUCGCAAUUAUGGCAUCCCAGAGGGGACUGAGGGAAACAAUAUUCAGCAGUUUAUUGAUAAUUUCAUUAGAAAGGAGUUGGAGCCCCUCGCCAAAGCUGAACUUGGCAUACAGAGAUGCCAUAGAGCGCUCAGCCCCAGGCCACCGAAUGAUGCGCAGCCCAGGUCAGUGAUUGCAUACUUCCAGGAGUUUAAGACUAAAGAACUGGUGUUACACUCUGCAUGGAAGAAGAAGGAGAUCUAUCACACUGACAGGAGGAUCUACUUCGACCCACGACUACCCCGCUGAAACUUUGGCAAAGAGGAAGGAGUAUGCGCAAACAAGGAGAAUUAUUUGUGAAAAAGGAAUACGAUUCCAAACACCACCGCCAACCAACCUACGAGUCUUCUAUGACGGUGGGCCGAUAACCUACAGGAGCGCGGCAGAUGGGGUACGGGAUUUAAAGACCAGGGGAAUCUCUGUCGAGUUGGAGAAGUCGGCUGAUGAGUUUGGGAUCCCGGAGAAGAUAAGGAGGACCUGGCAGCGAGCAGGGACUCCACCCAGCCGAGAGACCCGCCAAGAGUGGAUUAAGGAGAAGCUGCAAGGUUUUCACCGGCCAAGAUAAAGAUACAGGGGGAACGGGAUGUAACAGACUGACACACGCCUAUUCAUAUUAAACGGCAAAGAAUCGGCUCCGCCCAGGUUGUGUUCCCCCUGAUUGCCAGAUGAGUUGCACCUGGCCAGGUGAUCAAGCAGCAGAUAAAGACUCCAGUUCACUGCUGCAGAGAAGAGGCUUCUAACUAGGGGACUGCUGGUCUUGCUGCC
Long non-coding RNA from Clupea harengus (Atlantic herring), 1283 nucleotides. RefSeq lists it as uncharacterized. The transcript is spliced from 2 exons. The record is from RefSeq and is a predicted model, not a curated record. Lineage: Eukaryota; Metazoa; Chordata; Actinopteri; Clupeiformes; Clupeidae.